Molecule: non-coding RNA, 348 nt
Organism: Vicia faba (fava bean)
Lineage: Eukaryota; Viridiplantae; Streptophyta; Magnoliopsida; Fabales; Fabaceae
Source: the annotation of a GenBank genome assembly
AUGAAGCUCGUUAGGUUUCUCAUGAAGUUGAACAACGAAACUGUCUCAAUCGAGUUAAAGAAUGGCACUAUCGUUCACGGCACCAUUACAGGUGUUGAUAUUAGUAUGAAUACACAUUUGAAAGCCGUUAAACUAACCCUAAAGGGGAAAAAUCCUGUUACUCUGGAUCAUCUCAGUGUGAGAGGCAACAACAUUCGUUACUAUAUCCUUCCUGACAGCUUGAAUCUGGAAACUUUACUGGUUGAAGAGGCUCCUAGGGUCAAACCUAAGAAGCCAACUGCUGGGGGAAAGCCGUUGGGGCGAGGACGGGGGAGAGGACGUGGACGCGGUCGUGGCCGUGGCCGUUAA